AGUGAACGCUGGCGGUAGGCCUAACACAUGCAAGUCGAACGGCAGCACAGUAAGAGCUUGCUCUUACGGGUGGCGAGUGGCGGACGGGUGAGGAAUACAUCGGAAUCUACUUUUUCGUGGGGGAUAACGUAGGGAAACUUACGCUAAUACCGCAUACGACCUACGGGUGAAAGCAGGGGAUCUUCUGACCUUGCGCGAUUGAAUGAGCCGAUGUCGGAUUAGCUAGUUGGCGGGGUAAAGGCCCACCAAGGCGACGAUCCGUAGCUGGUCUGAGAGGAUGAUAAGCCACACUGGAACUGAGACACGGUCCAGACGCCUACGGGAGGCAGCAGUGGGGAAUAUUAGACAAUGGGCGCAAGCCUGAUCCAGCCAGACCGCGUGGGUGAAGAAGGCCUUCGGGUUGUAAAGCCCUUUUGUUGGGAAAGAAAAGCAGCAGGUUAAUACCCCGCUGUUCUGACGGUACCCAAAGAAUAAGCACCGGCUAACUUCGUG
This 492-nucleotide ribosomal RNA is filed under the name uncultured bacterium. Its description in RNAcentral is "partial 16S ribosomal RNA". It matches the Rfam family "Bacterial small subunit ribosomal RNA", at positions 29 to 507 of the family's 1533-position model. The record is from RNAcentral.